RNAcentral lists this unclassified non-coding RNA (230 nucleotides) under Neodiprion pinetum (white pine sawfly). Its description in RNAcentral is "cuticle protein 64-like, transcript variant X1". Lineage: Eukaryota; Metazoa; Arthropoda; Insecta; Hymenoptera; Diprionidae. The record is from RNAcentral.
GAUGAUCUUAUCGAGGACGUACGUACGCUGCAGUUCACGGCGCGAUACGCAGCGUUGAAGAUAUCACGACCAGAGCCAACUCAGGCGUUACGAAAACAACGGUCGUCGAGGCGAAGGAGUCAUCCUCAAAGUUAAGAAAUUUUAAUAAGCGGUAAUUCUACUGGUAGCCCUCUGCGUGGGUGUUAACUCGAGCCGAAGCGAAAACGAGGAUGUUGCCGCCGAAGCUGGAG